GAUGACGCGCGUGCCGGCGGGGAUGGUGUAGCCGUUGAUCUCGCAGUCGUGGGUGGAGAAGUGCGGCAGGAGGAACGGCGCCGGCGGGUGGAUGCGCAUGGACUCCUUGAUGGUGGCCUUCAGGUAUGGCAUCCGGCUCAGGUCCUCCUCCAUCACCAUGCGGCCGUCGGGCGUCGCCGUCCUCACCUCCUUCUGGAGCUUGGCCAGGACGUGGCGGUUGUUCAUCAGCUCGCUCAUGGAGUACUCCAGCACCAGGAAUGAUGUCUCGAUGGCUGCUUCGAAC
RNAcentral lists this long non-coding RNA (283 nucleotides) under Zea mays. RNAcentral describes it as "long non-coding RNA (ZMAY_LNC002130)". Lineage: Eukaryota; Viridiplantae; Streptophyta; Magnoliopsida; Poales; Poaceae. The record is from RNAcentral.